UUAAAAAGCCCUAAACUUGCUUCUAUAAGCUUGUGGAGGCAGCAGGACUCGCACAGCAACUUCUCUAACUCUAGGUUCGACUCUGCUUUCCGCGCGCAGUCGGAGCGCCUCGCCCUCGGCCCUCGCGUCGCGCUGCAGGGUCGGCGCCCAGGGGCGAGCGCGGUUCUCCCGGGCGGCGAGCAGCCUUCGCCAUCUGGUGGCCACCGCGAGUACCUGCCCACCCGGCAGGGCUUCCCGAAGUCGCUGUUCUGGCAGGUCCUGGAGAAUAAUAAACAAUUAUUUUCUUUAUCCCACUCCCAUUCUUUCCCUUUAAAACUCCUUGCUGUGGGAGGGGGGGGGGUGGGGGGGUGGGGGUGGGGAGGAGCCUACAACGUGGAAUUUCUAAGACUCUAAGUUCUAGUUCUGGACUGUGGCUUCCUGGCAGCAAUUGCCCUGGGCUUCCCUGAGUUGCAUCCAUUUCUGCAAAGUGGGGAUUUGAACAACAUGGAUCUCUCUCAGUAGGACCCAGGAGGAGGAAAUGGGAUGCUUACAGAUGCAAUCUGCUCCCAGCAAAGUUCCAGUGGAGAGCUGUGGGACAGUCGUCCAUGGCCUAGCUUGCUGAGCGUGCUCUCAGGCAGCUGGUAUUCCCUGACGAGCCCCAACAGGAUAAGGCAAGUGCCCAUGUCUGUGUCAUUGUCAGUCUGGCCAGCCCUGAUUCCUAUUAUAAGCUGCUUGGGUUUGGUGGGGGGUGGGGGAGAGGAGAGGGAUGAUCCGGCUAUAUGAGCUGCCUUGCUGAAGGUGCUGGAGGCCUAGAGCUUCUAUUUCCCAUAGCCUUUUCUAAAUGACUUGUAACAGAACCUGAUCACAAGGUCUCCAAGCACAUUCGGGGUGAAUGCAAGGGCAUCAUUCUCUUCUCCAGAACUGGAAGUAGAAACAGUUUAAAGCAAACAAAAUUAAGAGCAAAACCAAAACCACAAUUUUGGGGAUUUAAUGUCUAUAUAUCUAAGUAGAAAGAAUGGGUCUCUCUUGUUUGGCUCUAUUCCCAAGCAAGGGUGCUACUUGUAGCCUAUUUCGGGUGGCGGACCUGAGGCUCACCUCUGUCAUUUGAAUGUACAUGACAUUCUUUUGGUUCUGUUUGUUCCAAGCACCCUGCUUCUCAGAGCUCAGUUUUUUAUGUCUGAUGGCCUGCUCCAUGCCCUCAUCUGUUUUAAUACAAAAGCUGUUGGUGAAAAUGACAGGCUACUCAGAACAAGUUCCAUGCAAAGGAGGAUCAGGGAACCAAGGUGGAUACGUCCUGGGAGCUGGGAAUUUAGGCUGCUCUGUGAAAGUAACGUAAGGAUAUUGUGUAAGCGUUGGGUACUGGAGGUCCUUAGGAACCAAGACUUUUAUAAUUUUAUGGUGUGUCCUCCCUAAGGUUUUCCACCAAGCAAAGAGAAAAGCUGUUUCUCUGGGUACCAUUUAUUUCACAAAGUAAAUAAUCACAGUAAAUGCUAUGGAGAGGGUAAAAGUAUGGAGUAAGAGGAUCCUGAGCUCUAGGACUGUUUCCAUCUUAGAACAGCUACUUACUCUCUCUAAGCCUCAGUCUCUCCAUCUGUAAAAUCAGAAUUUUGAAGUGAUCUAAUUAAUAGUUGGGGAAAAGGCUGAGUAAAGGGACAUUUGGAAAGUGCUUAGUGAGGUGCUUGGAAUGGUAUGCAUGCUCAGGAGAGGACCGCUAUCCCAUUACUGAGUGAAAUUCUACAAAGGGGAGUCCCUUUGUUAAUCUCUGAUCGAAGUAGCUACUGAAACACUCCCCUCUCCGUGACUUCUACACUGUGAAUGUUCCCACUUGUUAACUGUUUUCUUUAAAACGUCUUUAUUUUAGGGGCACCUGGGUGGCUCAGCUGGUUGAGCAUCUGGCUCUUGAUUUCGGCUCAGGUCAUGAUCUUGUGUUCAUGGGAUAGAGCCCCGCAUUGGGCUCCCACACUAACUGUGUGGAGUCUGUUUGGGGUUCAUUCUCUCUUCACCCUACCUUUCCUCCCACUUGUACUCUCUCUCUUAAAAAGAAAAAAAUAUAUAAAUAUGUAAUAUAUAAAUAUAAAAAUAUAUAUGUAUACUUUUAAAAUAUUUUAUUUUCUUUUUUUCACAUUUUUAUUAAAUUCUAAUUAGAUGACAUAUAGCAUAAUAGUGGUUUCAGGAGUCAUUGUCAGUGAAUUCAGUGAUUCAUCACUUACAUAUUAUACCCAGUGCUCAACACAGUGCCCUCCUUAAUACCUGCCCCCCCAUCUAGCCCAUCCCCCACCCUAAACCAUUUUAAAAACUCAUUUUCCUCUUUGAUAGAGGUUGCCUUAUGUGGCUUUCAUGCCACUCACACAGAGAAGCUGGAAGUAGGGGAAGGAAAAUAAGCCUAACUCUGCAGAGGCCUUUUCUAUGCUAUGUGGCAGGAGCGAUGAUGAAACCAAGGUCAGAGAGUUGGAAAGGCCUGAGGGGCAGAGCCAAGGCCUGAGUCAUAUUUUGUGUUGCUAUUAAAAUUCUCACCCGCCCAGAUCCUGUUCCUUACAAGUCCUGUGUAAUUUAUUUCAGGGCCUGUGCCUGGUGAAUCUGUGUGUUUGCUCUAACAUGUACUUAUGAUGCAGCAAAACUUCAUUUCACUGUUUUUCUUCUGGAGCUGGUUUACAGUCCCAGCACUCAUUUGGGCUGGGUAUUACUCACUGGGACUCUCCUUUCUCCUCAGCUUGUUCUCUCCCUCCUCACUUCUCUGAGUUUCAGUUGGGACUGAGGGCCGGGAUGGAGAAACCAAACAGUCUGUCAGUGUAGUCAAGCCAUUACAGUUCUGAGGAGCUCAGCUGCUAGGAUUGUCCUCUCCCAAAUAGGAGCUCCAAGGCAACACACGAGAUGGAGCUCCUUCUGCGUUGGUUACUUGAGGCUCUGUGCAUGUGUGGGGUAUAUGUAUAUGGUACAUGUUCGGUUGGGGGGGAUGUGUGUAUGUUGGCGAGCAGUUGAGACAAAACCACAGAGCUGGAUCACGCAGGCUGCAGCCUUUUAUAUGUAUCACCAAUGAACAUUUAUUUAGCCCCUAACCUACACAAGUCACUGAGAUAGGGAGGUGCCAGUACAUGUGGUUCCUGACCUUGAGAUCCAUUUUAAUCAACAUGGAGGGAGAGGAUAUGUGAAUAUAUGGGAAACAAACAGGGGUAAUAAUGAAUGAUAGCCAAUACUUCAGGAACUCAGAUGAAGAAAGAUGAUGACACCCACUAAGGUCCAGUGGGAUUCUAGAUGACUUCGAAUGAGGAUAAAACAAUAUUGUAGCCAGACUUUGAAGAAAAAUUAGGACUCAGGUAAGCAGAGUGGAAGGGUAAUGUCUACAUAGGCUUGCUUUUUUUUUUUUUUUUAAGAUUUUAUUUAUUCAUGAGAGACACAGAGAGAGAGAGGCAAGGCAAAGACAUAGGCAGAGGGAGAAGCAGACUCCCUGUGGGGAGCCUGAUGUGGGACUUAAUCCCAGGACCUCAGCAUCAUGCCCUGAGCCAAAGGCAGGCUCUCAACGACUGAGCCACACAGGCAUCCUUUUAUUUUUUUUAAGAUUUUAUUUAUUUAUUCAUUAGAGACACAGAGAGAGAGGCAAAGACAUAGGCAAAGGGGAGAAGCAGGCUCCCUGUGGGGAGCCUGAUGUAGGACUUGAUCCCAGGAACCUGGGAUCAUGACUUGAGCCAACGGCAGGCUCUCAACCACUGAGCCACCCAGGCGUCCCUGCACAGACUUGCUUAACAAUACACUGAAUAUACUGUAUGGCUGGUGUUGUUAGUCUGAAUUCUUCUGGUUGUCAGUGACCAAAACCCCACUCAAAUUACGGACAAAACCAAAAUGAGCCAUAUAAUUGAGAAUCUCAAGGCAUUGCACUGGCUUCAGUUCUUAGAGAUGCCAUCACAACACUGUCAUUCUCCCUUUGGCCCUGCUCUUCAAAGCGUUGGCUUUAUUUUUAGGUAGACACUCUUAGUAGACAGGGCUACUUGGGCUCCAGAAUUUAAUUCUAUGAACACAAUGUAUGCAUCUUUCCCUCAGCAGUGCUAGUAAAGCUUCCUGGAUUCUCAUUAGCCUGGCUUGGGUCAAGCAUCUAUCUAUGAGUCAGUUACCAUGACCGGCAGCAUGGAAUUCUCUGAUGGCCAGAUCUGAGUCAUGAGCUCACUCCUAGAGCCAGGUGAUGGGGACAGGCCAA
This 4168-nucleotide long non-coding RNA is filed under the name Canis lupus familiaris (dog). RNAcentral's name for it is "lncRNA (ENSCAFG00030018853.1)". Lineage: Eukaryota; Metazoa; Chordata; Mammalia; Carnivora; Canidae. The record is from RNAcentral.